AGUCUCAGUUCGGAUCGCAGGCUGCAACUCGCCUGCGUGAAGCCGGAAUUGCUAGUAAUCGCGGAUCAGCAUGCCGCGGUGAAUACGUUCCCGGGCCUUGUACACACCGCCCGUCACACCAUGAGAGCCGGGGGGACCCGAAGUCCGUAGCCUAACCGCAAGGAGGGCGCGGCCGAAGGUAAAACUGGUGAUUGGGGUGAAGUCGUAACAAGGUAAC
Molecule: ribosomal RNA, 217 nt
Filed under: uncultured bacterium
Lineage: Bacteria
Description: partial 16S ribosomal RNA
Rfam family: Bacterial small subunit ribosomal RNA
Source: RNAcentral